RNAcentral lists this ribosomal RNA (510 nucleotides) under uncultured bacterium. RNAcentral's name for it is "bacterial SSU rRNA". It matches the Rfam family "Bacterial small subunit ribosomal RNA", at positions 18 to 518 of the family's 1533-position model. The record is from RNAcentral.
CCUGGCGUCAGGAUGAACGCUAGCGACAGGCCUAACACAUGCAAGUCGAGGGGCAGCGCGGGAGAAGCUUGCUUUCCUGGCGGCGACCGGCGCACGGGUGCGUAACAGGUGUGCAAUCUGUCCAUAGUCGGGGGAUAGCCCAGCGAAAGCUGAAUUAACACUCCAUGUGAAUCGAAGCCGCAUGACUUUGAUUUGAAACGCAAGGACUAUGGGUGAGCACGCUUCUGAUUAGCUAGUUGGUGGGGUAACGGCUCACCAAGGCGACGAUCAGUAGGGGUUCUGAGAGGAAGGUCCCCCACAUUGGAACUGAGACACGGUCCAAACUCCUACGGGAGGCAGCAGUGAGGAAUAUUGGUCAAUGGGCGAGAGCCUGAACCAGCCAAGUCGCGUGAAAAGGAUGAAGGUUCUAUGGAUUGUAAACUUCUUUUGUCCGAGGGUAAAAAAGGCCACGUGUGGCUUCUUGCAAGUAUCGGACGAAUAAGCAUCGGCUAACUCCGUGCCAGCAGCUGC